This is a non-coding RNA of Gorilla gorilla gorilla (western lowland gorilla), 132 nucleotides long. It matches the Rfam family "Metazoan signal recognition particle RNA". From Rfam's summary of the family: The signal recognition particle (SRP) is a universally conserved ribonucleoprotein. It is involved in the co-translational targeting of proteins to membranes. The eukaryotic SRP consists of a 300-nucleotide 7S RNA and six proteins: SRPs 72, 68, 54, 19, 14, and 9. The record is from Rfam. Lineage: Eukaryota; Metazoa; Chordata; Mammalia; Primates; Hominidae.
GCUGGGUGUGGUGAUGCACGCCUGUAAUUCCAGCUACUCGGGAGGCUGAGGCAGGAGAAUCACUUGAACCCAGGAGGCGGAGGUUGCACCACUGCACUCCAGCCUGGGUGACAGAGUGAGACCCUGUCUCAA